Long non-coding RNA from Limulus polyphemus (Atlantic horseshoe crab), 100 nucleotides. RefSeq lists it as uncharacterized. The transcript has 3 exons. Lineage: Eukaryota; Metazoa; Arthropoda; Merostomata; Xiphosura; Limulidae. The record is from RefSeq and is a predicted model, not a curated record.
CAGGUGUAAAGUAGUUUGAAAUAUAGAAAAUGUGUAUGCAGUCCCAUUACUCAAUCUGUAUACAUCAUUUACUAAAUCAGGGAUUGAAUCUGGUGAGCUA